Molecule: ribosomal RNA, 35 nt
Filed under: Onychoteuthis borealijaponica (boreal clubhook squid)
Lineage: Eukaryota; Metazoa; Mollusca; Cephalopoda; Oegopsida; Onychoteuthidae
Also listed under: 1 other name
Description: partial 5.8S rRNA
Source: RNAcentral
AAAACCCUGGACGGGGGAUCACUCGGCUCGUCCGU